UGGGGAAUAUUGGACAAUGGGCGCAAGCCUGAUCCAGCCAUGCCGCGUGAGUGAUGAAGGCCCUAGGGUUGUAAAGCUCUUUCACCGGUGAAGAUAAUGAAGGUAACCGGAGAAGAAGCCCCGGCUAACUUCGUGCCAGCAGCCGCGGUAAUACGAAGGGGGCUAGCGUUGUUCGGAUUUACUGGGCGUAAAGCGCACGUAGGCGGACUUUUAAGUCAGGGGUGAAAUCCCGGGGCUCAACCCCGGAACUGCCUUUGAUACUGGAAGUCUUGAGUAUGGUAGAGGUGAGUGGAAUUCCGAGUGUAGAGGUGAAAUUCGUAGAUAUUCGGAGGAACACCAGUGGCGAAGGCGGCUCACUGGACCAUUACUGACGCUGAGGUGCGAAAGCGUGGGGAGCAAACAGG
This 404-nucleotide ribosomal RNA is filed under the name Actinomycetes bacterium. RNAcentral's name for it is "Actinobacteria bacterium partial 16S ribosomal RNA". It matches the Rfam family "Bacterial small subunit ribosomal RNA", at positions 355 to 776 of the family's 1533-position model. Lineage: Bacteria; Bacillati; Actinomycetota; Actinomycetes. The record is from RNAcentral.